Molecule: transfer RNA, 82 nt
Filed under: Candidatus Beckwithbacteria bacterium
Lineage: Bacteria; Candidatus Beckwithiibacteriota
Description: tRNA-Leu
Rfam family: tRNA
About the family: Transfer RNA (tRNA) molecules are approximately 80 nucleotides in length. Their secondary structure includes four short double-helical elements and three loops (D, anti-codon, and T loops).
Source: RNAcentral
GCCGAGAUGGCGGAACUGGUAGACGCGCACGGUUUAGGACCGUGUGAGGCAACUCAUGCAGGUUCGAUUCCUGUUCUCGGCA